Molecule: long non-coding RNA, 393 nt
Filed under: Cervus hanglu yarkandensis (Yarkand deer)
Lineage: Eukaryota; Metazoa; Chordata; Mammalia; Artiodactyla; Cervidae
Description: lncRNA (ENSCHYG00000001794.1)
Rfam family: 7SK RNA (bases 28-308)
About the family: 7SK was discovered as an abundant small nuclear RNA in the mid-70s but a possible function has only recently been suggested. Two independent studies have found that 7SK RNA binds the CDK9/cyclin T complex (known as elongation factor P-TEFb). P-TEFb activates transcription by phosphorylating the C-terminal domain of RNA polymerase II.
Source: RNAcentral
ACUACUGACUUCAAGACUAGCUUUUUUGCAUGUGACGGUGAUCUGGCUGUGACAUCUAUCACCCCAUUAAUCACCAGGGUUGACUCAGCUGAUCUGGCUGGCUAGGCCAGUGUCCCCAUCCUGCCUCACCCCUUCACAUGUGUCCCUCCUCAAGCUGCAAGCUCAAGCUCGUCGAAAAGGGUAUUGGAAUAGUUGCUCUCCUCUGCUAGAACCUUCAAACAAACUCUCAGGACUAGCUCUUUCUACCUCGACAAGGAUGGGGAGGUUACCUUGAGCUGGCUAGAAGAGAAAAACAAGAGCCAAGGUCUGGAAAAGUGGAAGGAGGAGGUGAGGAUACCCCUGGCACAGAACCUGGAGAAAGAGCCCUCCAGGGUAUAGGACCUCAUGGGUGCC